AGAGGGCGCCAGGCGGGCCGCGGGCCCCGAGCCGCGUCAUGGCCGCCGCGCGGGUGCUGCUGAUCCUGGCCGGGCGCCCCGUGUCGCCGAGGUUCGUGCAGAGUGUGUGUCGCCUCCUGGGCGCCGGGCCAGGGCUCGGGCCGUGGCCCACUCACUGCGGCUUGAAGCGAGGACGACUAGUCCUCUCAGACGGGCCAUUCCCAGGCGCUUCGACCAGGCUUCCACUCCAGCGACCCCCUUUCUGCCCUUUUGUGGCACUGGACCAGCAGCAGCUCAGGGCUCUGGGGGCUGAGCUGCCCACGAAUCGAGGUGUGGACCUGGGUGUGGCCAUCAUGCUGCAGUCCAGCGACCAGACUGUCUUGUUAACCCGAAGGACACGCACCCUCAGCGUUUCUCCCAACCUCUGGGUACCCCCAGGUGGGCACGUGGAACUUGAUGAAGAGCUGCUGGACGGAGGGCUUCGAGAGCUUUGGGAGGAGAGUGGACUACAGCUGCCCCAGGGCCAGUUCUCUUGGGUCCCUCUGGGAUUAUGGGAGUCUGCCUACCCUCCUAGGCUGAGCUGGGGUCUCCCCAAAUACCAUCACAUCAUUCUCUAUCUACUCGUGGUCUCCCGGGAAUCACAGCAGCAGCUGCAGGCCCGGAUCCAACCAAACCCAAGUGAGGUGAGCGCCUUUAUGUGGCUGGGACCAGAUGUAGCAGCUGCAGUGGCUGCCACAGAGGAUGGGACAGAGACACCCAGACAUCUCCCCCAGGAGCUACCACCCUCCAUCCUGGCAUCGUCCAUCCAUCACUCUCCUGCCGUGGCUGGGAGGGCUCUGUGGAAGAGGGCUAAGCCACAAGGCACAGCCCAGACAGGAGCUGUCGUCAUGCAGUACGGCAGAACUAGAGGAGGACGGAGGAGCUCGACCCCUGGCCAUGCCCGUGUCCACGCUGCUGCGAACGACCCCAACCACGGAUGAAGGCAAAGAGAGGGUCAGCUCUGGGACCAAGUUUGCCCUCGGGCUCUGGCUGCAACAUCUGCGCAGGUAGAGCCGGGAUGGCAGCUGAGGUGACAGGACAGUGCUUUUUGGUCGGGGGCAGGUCCUCCUCAUCCGAUGAACUCUCUAUUGUCAAGUCAAUAACUUCAACCUUCUUCUUAUUCUCUGAUGGAUUGCCCUCUUGGACUGGGCUGUACUGGAGGCCUGCGGGUGGUAAGAGGACUGUGUCUCAGAGAUGAGGUCAUCUGAGAUGUAGUUCAGCUCGGGGACGGGGAGUCACUCACCAUCCAGCCCAUACCCUGGCGGGGGGCAAACCUCAGAUGCCUCCUUCUUGGGUUUCAUUGGGCACCAGGAUCCAUCUUCCAUGAACUGGAUCUCAUCACAAUCCGAACAGGAAUUAAGUAUCUCCAUGAACAAGCUGGGGGAAGGGGAGAGAUGGGAAUUCAUGGGGCUGGGAGAUGGCUGGAAACAGUAGCCGGGGAGUUCUGGGACUCACCUCUCUGAACCUGUUUCCUCGUCUGUAAAAUAGGGACAUUAUUCACUCUACUCAACUCUCUUGAGUUGUCGGAAUCAAAUAAAGUAAGGUAAUAUAAAAGAGA
RNA transcript from Leptonychotes weddellii (Weddell seal), 1576 nucleotides. It is a transcript of the gene named nudix hydrolase 17, with no coding region annotated. The record is from RefSeq and is a predicted model, not a curated record. NCBI's taxonomy places the organism in Eukaryota, Metazoa, Chordata, Mammalia, Carnivora, Phocidae.